AGGAAUUUUUUUUAUAUUAUUAGGUAGAAUUUUAAUAUAGAGUAAAAACAUUAAUUUUAAACAUAAAAAUUAUGUUAUGGACCAGGAUUAGAUACCCUGUUACUCAUAAGUAAUAAAUUUUGGAAUAGUAAUAAUGAUGAAAUUUAACGGAUUUGGCGGCAAGAUAGCCAUUUAGAGGAACCUGCCCUAUAAACGAUGAGCCACGAAAAACUUUACUUUUAUUUGUAAUCAGUUUGUAUAUCGCUGUUGUCAGUCAGUUUCUUUAGAAAACUUUCUAUCAUGAAAAAAUCAUAGACUUCAAGUAAAGGUGCAGCUAAUGUAAAAGAUAGAGGUGGGUUACAUUUAUUAGAUUAAAACGAAUAAAGUUUAUGAAAUAGCUUUUAAAGGUGGAUUUAAUUGUAAAGUUUAAGAAAACUUGAUUUGAGCUCUAUCUUGUGUACACACCGCCCGUCGCUCUCUUUAUUAAAU
Molecule: ribosomal RNA, 468 nt
Filed under: Galkinius trimegadontus
Lineage: Eukaryota; Metazoa; Arthropoda; Thecostraca; Balanomorpha; Pyrgomatidae
Description: partial 12S ribosomal RNA
Source: RNAcentral